Long non-coding RNA from Syngnathus acus (greater pipefish), 495 nucleotides. RefSeq lists it as uncharacterized. NCBI's taxonomy places the organism in Eukaryota, Metazoa, Chordata, Actinopteri, Syngnathiformes, Syngnathidae. The transcript is spliced from 2 exons. The record is from RefSeq and is a predicted model, not a curated record.
CUCCACUUUUUCUUCUCCUCCCCCUCUGCACGCACGCACGCACGCACGCACGCACGCUGUGUCAUCAACCCAAGUUAGAAAGAAAAAUGUUACGGCAGAUAAUAAGAGGAAAGGAGCAGCGUAAACGACUCCGAAAGAAGACCCAAAGCUGGAGGGAGUUGUACUUCUAAAGCCCACCAGUCGAAUCUUUCGUGGAAUAUCCCAGAAGAUGAAGCUAAGCAAGAGGGAGAAGAUGGAGAAGGAUUCGAAAGCAGAAGAUGCCUGAAGAGGGUACGCAUUAAAAACUCAAAAGAACAUGAACUGCAAUAAAAUGGUGUGCAUGUGGUUCUCCUGCUUUAGUUUUUGAUCUUGAGCUGCUUCUUAUUCACUCAUGCUGCUCGCUUGUGACUGCAGGCUCACGUCUUUUCUGGACUCAAAUGAGAGAGACAGAGAGCAAGCGAGAGAGAUGCAGAACUACCAGAGAACAUGAAAUGUGCGAUCAUUUGGGAGCGUAAG